UAUAAAUUUCAAUCCAAUUUUUAAAGCGAGACAUUCAAUUCAUGUAUUCCCUCUCACAUUUAUCCAUGUCUAUCCUUUUUCUAAAUGCUAUGCGUCUUUCCGAAAUACCAAAUGGAUACAAGGGAUCUUCAUUCCUCCUUCAACCGUACCUAUCACACACCUUUUCAUCUGGUGAAGCGGAGAGUGGAGGAAAAGGAUCUUCCCUAGCAUAUACCUGGUUACUUUUUAAGUGUUUGCUUUUGCUGACAUUCACUUUGUUAAGCUUUUCAUUUGUGUUUUCGGAAUCUACAUGUCAACAUAUUUGUGUGACAUGAUGUUUCUGCGCUUUUUUUAUAUUUUACUUUCAUGGACUGCUAGUGGGGCUAUAUACUUUAAUAAUGUUUCACCAGCUCAUGCUUGUGGUAAAGGUUACUUGAUAAUUUUAUAUUUUACGUGUGCCGUUGAAGAGUUCAAA
Lotus japonicus is the source of this 454-nucleotide long non-coding RNA. RefSeq lists it as uncharacterized. The record is from RefSeq and is a predicted model, not a curated record. The transcript is spliced from 2 exons. NCBI's taxonomy places the organism in Eukaryota, Viridiplantae, Streptophyta, Magnoliopsida, Fabales, Fabaceae.